AGGACAGUGGCAGAUCAGUGUAAUGGC
RNAcentral lists this non-coding RNA (27 nucleotides) under Cricetulus griseus (Chinese hamster). Lineage: Eukaryota; Metazoa; Chordata; Mammalia; Rodentia; Cricetidae. The record is from RNAcentral.